CUCCCUGCUGGAAACCUGAAGUCCAGAAGGGUGUCCCCUUCUGCCCCCUCAGGUUCCGGCUGUGACCCAGGCCUGACCCCUGCAGGAAAGCUCUCCCAUGCACAGAAGGCGCGCUGCUUGGGGGCCCAUGACUGCUGAUUCUCACUGUAAGCUUGACUGGAUCUGGGGCCGACUUCAGAGACCAGCAUGGAUGGGAUCUGUGAAAACACUUCCAGGGUCUUUCUCAGAACCGGAAACUGUUUUAAGCUACAUUGACUGACCAACAAGCAAGACCCUGGGAUCCGCCGUCUCCGUUCCUCAGGCAUGGAGCACACGGGUCUUAGGGACCCAAAUGCGAGUCCUCCGGCUGGGCAGCAAGCACUUUUCCUACUGAGCCCGCUCCAAGCCCCACAGCCUAGGCACAGCACCCUGAAUGUGCACAGCACCCUGAAUGUGCACAGCGCCCUCUCGCUGAAUCAACAGCCACCGGCUACAUGCAGCUAUCCGAAUUUAAAUUAACUCUAAUUAAAAAUUCACAUUCUCAUUUCA
Long non-coding RNA from Mesocricetus auratus (golden hamster), 528 nucleotides. RefSeq lists it as uncharacterized. The transcript is spliced from 2 exons. NCBI's taxonomy places the organism in Eukaryota, Metazoa, Chordata, Mammalia, Rodentia, Cricetidae. The record is from RefSeq and is a predicted model, not a curated record.